UGGGGAAUAUUGCACAAUGGGCGCAAGCCUGAUGCAGCCAUGCCGCGUGUGUGAAGAAGGCCUUCGGGUUGUAAAGCACUUUCAGCGAGGAGGAAGGUGGUGAAGCUUAAUACGUCAUCAAUUGACGUUACUCGCAGAAGAAGCACCGGCUAACUCCGUGCCAGCAGCCGCGGUAAUACGGAGGGUGCAAGCGUUAAUCGGAAUUACUGGGCGUAAAGCGCACGCAGGCGGUUUGUUAAGUCAGAUGUGAAAUCCCCGGGCUCAACCUGGGAACUGCAUUUGAAACUGGCAAGCUAGAGUCUCGUAGAGGGGGGUAGAAUUCCAGGUGUAGCGGUGAAAUGCGUAGAGAUCUGGAGGAAUACCGGUGGCGAAGGCGGCCCCCCUGGACGAAGACUGACGCUCAGGUGCGAAAGCGUGGGGAGCAAACAGAUUAGAUACCCUGGUAGUCCACGCUGUAAACGAUGUCGAUUUUGGAGGUUGUGCCCCUUGAGGCGUGGNUUCCGGAGCUAACGNGUUAAAU
Molecule: ribosomal RNA, 520 nt
Filed under: uncultured bacterium
Lineage: Bacteria
Description: partial 16S ribosomal RNA
Rfam family: Bacterial small subunit ribosomal RNA
Source: RNAcentral